AGCUCUGUAAGCGUAUACCAAAGUUGUUGCAGUUAAAACGCUCGUAGUCGGAACUUGGCGGACAAUUUGCUUCGUCCUCACGGAUGGUAGCAAAUUGGCCGCCUUUGUGGAGGGUGACCUACUGGUUCUUUACUGAAUCGUUAGGUUGCUGCCACCAUUUACUGUGAAAAAAUUAGAGUGUUCAAAGCAGGCGUUUGCCGUGAAUACAUUAGCAUGGAAUAAUAGAAUAGGACCUGGUUUCUAUUUUGUUGGUUUGUUAGAAUCGGGUAAUGAUUAAGAGGGAUGGUUGGGGGCAUUUGUAUUCCAGCGUCAGAGGUGAAAUUCUUGGAUUGUUGGAAGACAAACAGCUGCGAAAGCGUCUGCCAAGGACAUUUUCAU
This 378-nucleotide ribosomal RNA is filed under the name uncultured eukaryote. RNAcentral's name for it is "SSU rRNA". It matches the Rfam family "Eukaryotic small subunit ribosomal RNA", at positions 587 to 973 of the family's 1831-position model. The record is from RNAcentral.